This 253-nucleotide ribosomal RNA is filed under the name uncultured bacterium. RNAcentral describes it as "partial 16S ribosomal RNA". It matches the Rfam family "Bacterial small subunit ribosomal RNA", at positions 524 to 776 of the family's 1533-position model. The record is from RNAcentral.
UACGUAGGGUGCAAGCGUUGUCCGGAAUUAUUGGGCGUAAAGAGCUCGUAGGCGGUCUGUCGCGUCUGCUGUGAAAACUCAGGGCUUAACCCUGAGCUUGCAGUGGGUACGGGCAGACUAGAGUGCGGUAGGGGAGUCUGGAAUUCCUGGUGUAGCGGUGAAAUGCGCAGAUAUCAGGAGGAACACCGGUGGCGAAGGCGGGUCUCUGGGCCGUAACUAACGCUGAGGAGCGAAAGCAUGGGGAGCGAACAGG